This 468-nucleotide ribosomal RNA is filed under the name uncultured bacterium. RNAcentral describes it as "partial 16S ribosomal RNA". It matches the Rfam family "Bacterial small subunit ribosomal RNA", at positions 28 to 507 of the family's 1533-position model. The record is from RNAcentral.
GACGAACGCUGGCGGCGUGCUUAACACAUGCAAGUCGAACGGAAAGGCCCUGCUUUUGUGGGGUGCUCGAGUGGCGAACGGGUGAGUAACACGUGAGUAACCUGCCCUUGACUUUGGGAUAACUUCAGGCAACUGGGGGUAAUACCGGAUAGGAGCUCCUGCUGUUUGGUGGGGGUGGGAAAGUUUCGGCGGUUGGGGAUGGACUCGCGGCUUAUUAGCUUGUUGGUGGGGUAGUGGCUUACCAAGGCUUUGACGGGUAGCACGCCUGAGAGGGUGACCGGCCACAUUGGGACUGAGAUACGGCCCAGACUCCUACGGGAGGCAGCAGUGGGGAAUAUUGCACAAUGGGCGGAAGCCUGAUGCAGCAACGCCGCGUGCGGGAUGACGGCCUUCGGGUUGUAAACCGCUUUCGCCUGUGACGAAGCGUGAGUGACGGUAAUGGGUAAAGAAGCACCGGCUAACUACGUG